This 440-nucleotide ribosomal RNA is filed under the name uncultured bacterium. RNAcentral's name for it is "partial 16S ribosomal RNA". It matches the Rfam family "Bacterial small subunit ribosomal RNA", at positions 338 to 795 of the family's 1533-position model. The record is from RNAcentral.
CCUACGGGAGGCAGCAGUGGGGAAUAUUGCACAAUGGGGGAAACCCUGAUGCAGCGACGCCGCGUGAGUGAAGAAGUAAUUCGUUAUGUAAAGCUCUAUCAGCAGGGAAGAAAAUGACGGUACCUGAGUAAGAAGCGCCGGCUAACUACGUGCCAGCAGCCGAGGUAAUACGUAGGGGGAAAGCGUUAACCGGUUUUACUGGGGGAAAAGGGAGCGGAGACGGCAGUGCAAGUCUGGAGUGAAAGGCGGGGGCUCAACCCCCGGACUGCUCUGGAAACUGGACAGCUGGAGGGCAGGAGAGGUAAGUGGAAUUCCUAGUGUAGCGGUGAAAUGCGUAGAUAUUAGGAGGAACACCAGUGGCGAAGGCGGCUUACUGGACUGUAACUGACGUUGAGGCUCGAAAGCGUGGGGAGCAAACAGGAUUAGAUACCCUGGUAGUC